AGAGUUUGAUCCUGGCUCAGGAUGAACGCUGACAGAAUGCUUAACACAUGCAAGUCUACUUGAAUUUGAGUUUUUUAACUUAGAUUUGGGUGGCGGACGGGUGAGUAACGCGUAAAGAACUUGCCUCACAGCUAGGGACAACAUUUGGAAACGAAUGCUAAUACCUGAUAUUAUGAUUAUAAGGCAUCUUAGAAUUAUGAAAGCUAUAUGCGCUGUGAGAGAGCUUUGCGUCCCAUUAGCUAGUUGGAGAGGUAACGGCUCACCAAGGCGAUGAUGGGUAGCCGGCCUGAGAGGGUGAAUGGCCACAAGGGGACUGAGACACGGCCCUUACUCCUACGGGAGGCAGCAGUGGGGAAUAUUGGACAAUGGACCAAGAGUCUGAUCCAGCAAUUCUGUGUGCACGAUGACGUUUUUCGGAAUGUAAAGUGCUUUCAGUUGGGAAGAAAAAAAUGACGGUACCAACAGAAGAAGUGACGGCUAAAUACGUGCCAGCAGCCGCGGU
Molecule: ribosomal RNA, 502 nt
Filed under: Fusobacterium sp. oral clone BP2-18
Lineage: Bacteria; Fusobacteriati; Fusobacteriota; Fusobacteriia; Fusobacteriales; Fusobacteriaceae
Description: bacterial SSU rRNA
Rfam family: Bacterial small subunit ribosomal RNA
Source: RNAcentral